CCUACGGGAGGCAGCAGUGGGGAAUAUUGCUCAAUGGGGGCAACCCUGAAGCAGCAAAGCCGCGUGAAGGAUGAAGGUUUUCGGAUUGUAAACUCCUUUUGUUAGAGGAGUUAAUGACGGUAUGUAACGCAUAAGCACCGGAUAACUCCGUGCCAGCAGCCGCGGUAAUACGGCGGGUGCAAGCGUUACUCGGAUUUACUGGGCGUAAAGAGCGCGUAGGCGGGUUAGAAAGUCAGAUGUGAAAUCCUUUGGCUUAACCAUAGAACUGCAUUUGAAACUGUUAUUCUGGAGUAUGGGCGAGGUAGGUGGAAUUCGUGGUGUAGGGGUAAAAUGCGUAGAGAUCAAGAGGAAUACUGAUUGCGAAGGCGACCUGCUAGAACAUAACUGACGCUGAUGCGCGAAAGCGUGGGUAGCAAACAGGAUUAGAUACCCGUGUAGUC
Molecule: ribosomal RNA, 440 nt
Filed under: uncultured bacterium
Lineage: Bacteria
Description: partial 16S ribosomal RNA
Rfam family: Bacterial small subunit ribosomal RNA
Source: RNAcentral